UGCCCGACUAUAAACCUAGAUUGAUUCCACUAUAAACACAAUCCGCCAGAGGACUACCCGCAAAAGCCAAAAACUCCAAGGACUUGACGGUGCCCUAACACCCUAGAGGAGCCUGUCCCAUAAUCGAUACUCCACGCUAAACCUUACCCCCCCCUUGCCCCUACAGCCUAUAUACCGCCGCCGUAAGGCCCACCUUUUGAAAGCACUAACGUGGACAAAAUAUGUCUCUCCAUAGUACGUCAGGUCAAGGUGUAGCUAAUGAGGGGGAGACGCGAUGGGCUACAAUCUCUUAUACCGAGCCCUGUAAAAGACAUGAAAUAAUCUUCCAACGACGGAUUUAGUAGUAAAUUCAACAAGUACUGUUAAAUUGAAAUGUGCCCUGGGAU
This 386-nucleotide ribosomal RNA is filed under the name Gonatodes annularis (annulated gecko). RNAcentral describes it as "partial 12S ribosomal RNA". It matches the Rfam family "Bacterial small subunit ribosomal RNA", at positions 793 to 1380 of the family's 1533-position model. The record is from RNAcentral. Lineage: Eukaryota; Metazoa; Chordata; Lepidosauria; Squamata; Sphaerodactylidae.